Non-coding RNA from Vicia faba (fava bean), 198 nucleotides. The record is from the annotation of a GenBank genome assembly. Lineage: Eukaryota; Viridiplantae; Streptophyta; Magnoliopsida; Fabales; Fabaceae.
AUGGAGUGGUGGUUCGCGUCUUCCGCUAUGGAGUGGUGGUUCGCGUUUCAGUUUGAGAUAGCGGUUGCUAUUUGGUGUUUAGCAUACGCUAUUUGUUACUAUUUUCUGAAGUUCCUUUUUAAUGUUAUUAUGAUGAUGAUUAUACUUCUAAAAAUUAUCCUCUUCCUUGCAGAGGUUAAAAGUAGUUUUCUGAAUUAG